GUUUAACGCUAGCGGUGCGCCUAACACAUGCAAGUCGAGCGUUCUCGCUUCGGCGAGAAGCGGCAAACGGGUGAGUAACACGUUGGUAACCUGCCCCAAAGUGAGGGAUAGCCCACCGAAAGGUGGAUUAAUACCGCAUAUGUCCAGUUUUUCAUAAGAAGAAUUGGGUAAAGCAGCAAUGCGCUUUGGGAAGGGCCUGCGGCGUAUCAGCUUGUUGGUAGGGUAACGGCCUACCAAGGCUAUGACGCGUAGCUGGUGUGAGAGCACGACCAGCCACAAUGGGACUGAGACACGGCCCAUACUCCUACGGGAGGCAGCAGUGAGGAAUCUUCCGCAAUGGGGGAAACCCUGACGGAGCGACACCGCGUGCGGGACGAAUGGCUUUUGCCUGUAAACCGCUUUUCUGAAGGAACAAAUUCUGAGCUCACUUCAGGAAUAAGCACCUGCUAACUACGUG
RNAcentral lists this ribosomal RNA (457 nucleotides) under uncultured bacterium. RNAcentral describes it as "bacterial SSU rRNA". It matches the Rfam family "Bacterial small subunit ribosomal RNA", at positions 28 to 507 of the family's 1533-position model. The record is from RNAcentral.